UCCCCACGAGGCUAGAACUCAUCCGCCGCCUCCUCCGGGUUAAAAACCAGGGCAUGCUUCCAUCUGCAUCGAGCACGCCGGCCUCCUCGCGGCGCUACCUCUGCCCGCGGCCUCCAAGCUGGUUGAGAUCCGGCUUCAAAUCUGAUUGACGUUUUUUUCUCGGCGCCCGAUUUGAUUGGAUUCUGCCCUGUACUGGCUACGGACGGAUGAAGCUAGGAGACCUGUACAGCCUACAUACGCUCAAGAGAUCCGGCUUCAAAUCAACAUGAAGUUUUUUCCUCUGCGUCUGAUUUGAUUGGAUUCUGAUCUACCUCAAUCCCCCAGAUUUCUUUGGAUUUAUUGGAUUGUGGAUUUGCUCGCUAAAGCUAGGAGGCCUGUACCAUCUAUGGACGCUGCGGAACACCUAAUUGCAUCGGUACAAGAAACACUAGGAACAUCGCGUGAUUCUGCACCCUUUGACGGUCAGUUGUCUACUAUCCUUGAUACAACAACUAAAGUUAUUCUAGGGCACUAAGUAGGAGAGGCUGACCAAGACAUGUAUACUGCUCCAGCGGCCAUCAUGGUUGUCUCAAAAGGCAACUACUCUUUGUGAUUAUCUUUGAAUCGUCAAUUUCCUCUAUUAUUGUUAGUUUUUGUUUAUUUUUUUCAUGCCUUUUCCUUGCCAUUGAUGAUAUUCAUCUCUUUUGUUUCAAUUCAUUCUCUCCACUUAAGUAGCAAUAUCUUUAUUGUUGUGCUAUUCUUGAAAGGAAGGAGCAGUAGAGAAGGCUUCCA
This is a long non-coding RNA of Lolium rigidum, 771 nucleotides long. RefSeq lists it as uncharacterized. NCBI's taxonomy places the organism in Eukaryota, Viridiplantae, Streptophyta, Magnoliopsida, Poales, Poaceae. The record is from RefSeq and is a predicted model, not a curated record. The transcript has 3 exons.